UCACGGGCCGGGGCGGGGUCCCGGGUGAUUGGCGGCCCCGGGCUCUGCCGCUAAGCUAUUGGCCCUAAGGAACGCUUUUCAACACCCUCUCGACUUCCCGGCUCUCUGAUUCAUCGGUAGAAGGACGUCUGUCUCUGCCAAAGGUUUGCCGCGUUCUCUCGUUGGAGGCCGUGCGCAUUCGCAGCACACAAGGCCAGCUGGGACUAGUAGUCCGUCCCUUCGCACUUUGAGCGACUUACCAAAGAUAAAGGGCGAGAAAGGAAAGAUCUUUCCCUUCAAACGUCUCCCUUCCCCAGUGAGCCGGUUCCUGGCCUUGCGUGCUGACAUCACGGGAGGAAUGCGGUGAUGCAGCUGCUCGCCUGUGACGUUAGUGACGGAGGCCGGCCUCGGAGUUCGAUGAUGUCACCUGGCUCUCUGCCCCGCCCCCGCGGUGCCCUCAGAGGCUGGGACAGGGCUCCAGGGCGGGGUUCGAUCCUAGGUCCCAAGCCCGAGCCACCUUCCCGCCGGCUCCGCCCAGGCCCGACUGUGGGCUCACCGCCCCGCCAGCCGGGAAAGGUCACCGCUGCUCGGGCGACCGCGGUUAUCGCGGCCCGGCAGGCAGUACGGGCCGCCCCGGGAAAGGUCUUCCUCAGGCGGGGGACUUAAUUAGAGGCUUCUACAGCGGGCGAUAAGCAAAGGUGAGCGCCAGGCCCCUCCCAGGGGAGCUCGGGCCGCUCAGCAGGUCUCUGCUCCGCCUCCCCCAACCCAUCCCGGUCCUCCGUUCCUCGGUUUCCCCAGGGGAGAAGCGGCUCCGGGACUAGGAUAAGGGAGGAGACGCGAUGAGAUAUCGAAGACCUGAAAGGACCAGCCAGGGGACUCGAGGCGUAACAGCGCAAGAGUGGUGCUGGGAGGGCACCCUUCGCAUUCAUUGAGCAAAUAAAUGUUAACAACAAUAGAAUUCUGUGUGGGGGGCUUAAUACACAAUCAUUAACUAACUAAACUUAAUUCUCGUCAGUCUCCAGUCUCCUGGGGCUCGACGUCUUACAUGGUAUUAAAACAAUAGCAAUGGCAGUUCUGUCACAGAAACUGUUUUGGUCUUGUUUGUUCCGUUCUUGAUCACGUAUCAGGAAUUACAGGAAAAAUAAGUCAUAUGUGAUUAUACAUUUGAUUUCUAUACUUGAUUUCUAUAUUAAUCCCACAGGGUCCGCUAAGACUGGGAUCGGGGUGAAGUGAGUCAUGCAAGUGCAGGGUCCGAGCUUGUCUUUUACUAUUUUUUUUAAUCAUCGCAUAUUUUUUUGCAUUAAUUUUUAGUUUUUAAAAUAUCUUGACGGCUGAGUUUUUUGGCACCCCCUCCCCAUCUAACUUUGUGCCUGAGUCCCACCAGAGACAGAGGAAGGAGGAGAAAGAAAACAAAGGCUCAGAGCUCGUGAUUCUGAUGCCAGUUUUGCUGUGUGACAAUGAGAAAGUGGUUCCCUGUCUCUGAGCUUCCAUUUCCUACUUCACUGGACACUUUCGUUACACUUAGUGAAGAAGGCAGACAAGUCCCUGGACAUUGCAUUUUACUAAGGGAGACACAAUUAUAAGUUAAAUUAAUACAUAUGCUCGGUUCUUAAGGGUUGUAAGAGCAACAUUAAAGGGUAUAGGGUAGGAGGGGAGGAUGCUAUAGCCUGCAUUCCCUGAGGAGGGUCAUUUGGACUGAACCUGAGUUGGGGAGAAGCAAGCCCCACAAAACCGAUGUGGAGGGCACUGCUGGGGCAAAGGCCUGGGGCCAGGAACAAACAUUUGUCUGGAAUAGAAUGAGCAAUAAGGAAAGCACCAGGGGUUGAGGUCAGAGGGCUCAAGGUAGCCAGGUGAUUCUGCAGAAAUCUCAAGAGCUCAGCAAAGCAGAAUAGUCCCAUCAUGGCCAGGUAAGCAAGCAGAAGCUCAGAAGUGGAAGUAGCAACCCCCGGGAUCACACAGCCGGAGGUAGCAGAGCCCAGACAGCCUGUUUCUUUUUCUGGCACUUUGUCCAGUGUGCUGCCCCUGGGUGUGACACUUGAUGGAAAAGGAGAUGCAGCUCUCCUAGUCUUCCUAGAAAUGCUGGCUGAGCUGA
RNA transcript from Manis pentadactyla (Chinese pangolin), 2071 nucleotides. It is a transcript of the gene named relaxin 3, with no coding region annotated. The transcript is spliced from 3 exons. The record is from RefSeq and is a predicted model, not a curated record. Lineage: Eukaryota; Metazoa; Chordata; Mammalia; Pholidota; Manidae.